Non-coding RNA from Acanthosepion pharaonis, 115 nucleotides. Lineage: Eukaryota; Metazoa; Mollusca; Cephalopoda; Sepiida; Sepiidae. The record is from the annotation of a GenBank genome assembly.
UACGGUCAAAUCACCUUUUGAAAAACUGAUUCUCAUACAACCAUCGAUUUUAAGCAACGUCGAGCCAUGUCAGUACUUAGAUGGGUGACCGUUUGGGAGGACCGGGUGCUGUAUG